This 435-nucleotide ribosomal RNA is filed under the name Hydroporus appalachius. Its description in RNAcentral is "partial 16S ribosomal RNA". The record is from RNAcentral. RNAcentral also lists the same sequence under 1 other name. Lineage: Eukaryota; Metazoa; Arthropoda; Insecta; Coleoptera; Dytiscidae.
GUCCUUUAGGUAAUUAUAAUUUAAGGUCUAACCUGCCCAUUGAUAAGUUAAAAGGCCGCAGUAAUUUGACUGUGCAAAGGUAGCAUAAUCAUUAGUUUUUUAAUUAAAAGCUUGUAUGAAUGGUUGGACGAGAUAAAAUCUGUCUCUUUAUAAAAAAUAGAAUUUAAUUUUUAAGUUAAAAAGCUUAAAUUUAUAUAAAAGACGAGAAGACCCUAUAGAUCUUUAUAAAAUUUUUUUUAAUAUUAAUAAAGAAAUUUUAAUUUAUUAUAAAAAUUUUUAUUAUAUUGGGGUAAUAAAAAGAUUAAUAUAAUUCUUUUUUUUAAUAACAAUUAUUAUUGAUUAUAUGAUCCAUUAUUAAUGAUUAUAAGAUUAAGUUACCUUAGGGAUAACAGCGUAAUUUUUUUAGAGAGUUCUUAUCAAUAAAAGAGUUUGCGA